Molecule: long non-coding RNA, 1857 nt
Organism: Gadus morhua (Atlantic cod)
Lineage: Eukaryota; Metazoa; Chordata; Actinopteri; Gadiformes; Gadidae
Exons: 2
Source: RefSeq, a predicted model, not a curated record
UUGUGUGAAUGAUGCAGGAUCUGCAGCCCGGGCUGCACCCACACCCUUCUUUCAACUUAAAGAGACUCUGAAGGAGGUGGAGCAAACGUGUGUCUGGAGCUCCGCUUGGGCUGGGAUAUGAACUGGGAGACGUCUGAGAGGGCAACAUGUGUUACGCUGCCUGCGUUGUGUGUUGUGUUGCGUGAGUGUGCGUCUGACUGAGUGCAUAUGUGUGCAUGCAUUGUACGCCGCGGGUGUUUGGACCGACUUAGAGGCGCCGUACUGUAAAACUUUCUGACCUGUUGAUUUAUCUUCACUAAAAAGGGCCCGUGAAAGAUCUGUCGGUGUUGAGAAAGGACCGCAGGAAUGAACCACGGCAGGCAAGACGGUGUGGAGGAGGAGAGCGAGCGCAUGGGGCCGGGUGGGUGGAGCCCGCGCCAUGCAGGAAGGAAACACAGGAAACGUUCUAGCAGGAAAACAAUGUAAUCAUGAACCCUGGGCUCAUUUACUGUCUGGUUGGUAAUAUAGGCAGCAUGUGUGUGUGUGUGUGUGUGUGUGUGUGUGUGUGUGUGUGUGUGUGUGUGUGUGUGUGUGUGUGUGUGUGUGUGCGUGUGCGUGUCAGAACCAAACCAUACGUUAACGGGCUGCAGAUUUCAUAAUUAAAUCAAUGAAUUGCUUGAGAACAAAAUACAUUCGAGAAAAGUACAUUGUUUGUAAAAGACAAGGGACUUUCUCUGGCGAACUUCAAGUGGCUGAAUGGGGGACAGCCUCUAGCAAACUUCAACCAGCUCAGCCCCCCUGCGGCUCCAGACAGAGGAGUGAUUCCCCUUGGCGGACUGGCAGUGGUGCCGUCGUUUGGGCUCAACCUCCUGUGCCUACUGAGCUGAUAACAGUUAGAUGUCAAAACAAGCACUGGCUCAGUUCAGCAGGAACCGGAGUUACGCCUUCAAUAAACAGCGAGGACAUAUCCGUCCCCACGCAAGAUUAUGCACUUGUAGUAAAUGUUGCAGUAAACUUUUUUAGUAAAUGUUUCUCUCUGUAUGUGUUAGACUAAACUGUGUUGUUUUAGGUGCCAUGGUUUUUGUUAUUUUAUUUAAAACAUAAAUGUUCAUACUUCCUCUAUGAAUCAUAGGGAGAUUGCAAUCAGUGAGUACAGAGAGCUUUGAUGUUGUCCCACACCCACACCCACACCCACACACACACACACACACACACACACACACACACACACACACACACACACACACACAUCCUGAAACCAACCUGUUGGCCAUCGAUUCUCAAGGCCUCGUGAUGGAGGAAAUUUGCUCCUGUUGGUUGUGUGUUUACUCAAAGAUCACAGGAGCAGAGAUUUUUCCAGAUGCACUUCCCCGAUAGCACAUCAGAUCGCCCUCUGUGGGAGCACAUAAUAAAGCAAGGAAGAAGUGAACCUUCUGACUUUGAGAGCAUUAGGGCUUUUUAAUGCCAGUGUAAUAUUUGUAAAGACGGCCUGAGUCUGUUUUUUUCAGUUAUGUAAGUAACUGCUCCUUUAAAUGUGCAACUCUGACUCUCAGCUUUUAAGAAAAUACCAUAACUAACACCGAACUAACGUUACACAUCAUUUUUUUAAUAAUGUCCAUACAGUCAACAGUUUGUCUCUUUAUAUUAAAGAUAUUGAUGAAGUGUAACGUUGAUUCAGUAAUCAUUUUGUAUUAAGCGAACAAAUGGGGACUGGGAACGAAUUUCCCCAUCGUGUCAUGUUAUUUACCAUACAUGAAUGCCAAGUCAUAUGCCCCACAACUGUACAGCGAAAAUACAGUUUCUAUGUGAAACCAAACACAUUUCAUAUUUCGGUGUAUAUCUUACCUUGGACAAAUAAAGACAAUGUUCUACUCCGUA